Molecule: long non-coding RNA, 2323 nt
Filed under: Sarcophilus harrisii (Tasmanian devil)
Lineage: Eukaryota; Metazoa; Chordata; Mammalia; Dasyuromorphia; Dasyuridae
Description: lncRNA (ENSSHAG00000023678.1)
Source: RNAcentral
UGAAAGUUAAAUAAAGGUUUUAAACAUAUUUCCUCAUUUGUCAUGUUGUGCAAGAAAAAUCAAAUCAAAAGAAAAAAAACAUGAAAGAAAAAAACAAAUGUGAAAAUAAUAUGCUGUAAUCCAUAUUUAGUCUCUAUAAUUCUCUCUUUGGAUGCAGGUGGCAUUUUCUAUCCCAAGUCUGCUGGAAUUGCCUUGAAUCACCACAAUGCAGAGAAGAGCCAAGUCCAUCAGAGUUGAUUAUCACAUAAUCUUGUUUCUGUGUCCAAUGUUCUCCUGUUUCUGCUCUUUUCAUCAGUUCAUGCAAGUCUCCUCAGGCCUCUCUGAAAUGAUCCUGAUGACUGUUUCUUACAGAACAAUAAUAUUUCAUAACACUUAUAUACCAUAUUUUAUUCAGCCAUUCUCCAAUUGAUGGGCAUUCACUCAGUUUCCAGUUCCUGGCCACUAAAAAAAGGAUCCCACAAACAUUUUCACACAUAUGGGUCCCUUUCCCUCUUUUAUGAUCUCUUAUGAUCACAAAACUUAGUAGACUGCCAUCCCCCAUUCUUCUAACAAAGUGACUUUCAAGUCUGACUAUGUCUGUCACUCAACCAUCCCUUAAGUUCUAGUGACUCACUGUUAUCACCAGGAUCAAACACAAAAUGUUCUGCUUGGCAUUUAAAACCCUUCACAAGCUGACUUUUUCCUUGCUUUACAGUCUUCUCAUUCCCGAACUUCUCCCCAUUCCCACUGUUUGUGCUUUUCUCUCUGAUAUUAUUCUGUAUAUCAUUUUGAUUAGAAUGUGAAUUUCUCCAGAAUAAGCACAUUUUUGCCUGCCUUUGCAUCCUUAGCAGUUACCAUAGUACCUGCAUAUAAUAGGUACUUAAAUAAAUGCUUGCUGACUAACUUAGAGGCAUCCUUAGAAUUCUGAAAAUUAUAGUCAUAGAUUGAAAACGAAGAAAAACCAUUAACAGUCAUUUAAUCCAGGUGCCUCAUUUUACAGAUUAGGAAACUGAGUCCUACUAAGGUUAAAUAAUUUAAUAACAGAUAAAUUAGAAAAAGAAAUAUUCUAUUGGCUUUGUGGAAAAUAAGUCUACCCUAAGACCACUAAUCUCUAUGCAUUUCCAAAAUUCUCAAUUUGACCAUAGAAGCUAGAAAUUGGUUCAUAAGUACCAAAAGGGUUAGCUAAUCAUGGUUCCCCUUACUUGUAAUGAAUGAGCAGAAGUUGUAAAAAUCAUGUUUCACAGCAAGAAUAGGUCCGAAAAGGAUACAAAGUGAUAGCAGAAGAAGGGAAUGGUUCCCAAGAAACUACAGACUACUCUCAGUGGUAGUUUCUCCACUUGCAACCCUACUUCUAGACCUUCAUUAUAAGAUAAACCAUCAUGACAAUUUCCCCUUAAGGUAGGUUAUACCUUAUAGAAUCUAUGCAUGGAAACCCCUGUUAUAAGAUCAGGCCUGAUGGUUUUGAACCCACUAUAACAUUUUCAGAUUUCUACUCUGAAUUCCACUAACACUCUACGUUAUGACUUGGAGAGACAACAAAAUUAGCUGGGAGUCAGUGUACCUGGGUCCUAGUGAUGGGAUUACGGAUAGCUAGGUAUGGCUGACAGGUAGAAAAUGGAGUCCUGAUGAAAUUGUUCCCUGUGGCAGGCAGAGAAAAGGCUCUGAUAGAGAUCAGUUAACUCCCUGGUCCCAUCCUCAGUGGAAGUCUUCCAGUCAGAAAUCCAAGUUAUAUCAAAUCUCUUAUGUCUCUCCUCUCAGACCCCACUUCUCCUCCUUAUACUUAACUAACCCUUCUAGGUGGCUAAAUCUCAAAGGCAUGCUCCAACCUCAUGACUUGUUGCCUUUCUCCUAGCUAAUUGCAAGUUACACUAGGUCUUUUUCAUCAUUCAUUUUUUGACAGCUUUUUAAUUUUCAAAAUACAUGCAAAAAUACUUUUCAACAUUUACCCUUGCAAAACCUUGUGUCCUAAACCUUUCUCUCCCCCUUCCCCCAUCUCCUAUUCCUUUAGACAUAAGUAAUUCCUUCUAAACAUAUUUCCACAUUUAUCACCCAUUAAUUAUUAAAAUACCUUUCCUUACCAUGUGCUCUCCCACCUCUAUUUACCAUUCCUGGUGUCUAUUGUAUCCCUUCAUUUUGUCUGUAACCUCUUGUCCUAAAUAUUUAAACCUGGCUUUUGCCAAAAAAAAAAAAAAAAAAAAAAAAUGGCCAUUGUGAAUUCUUCACAUGACUGAACCCCAACAUUUGGUGCCUACAAACCAUAUCAUUUGCUAUAUCUGUUACAUCACUGGUCCCUGUUAAAAACUAAGAAUAUCUUUGCAGAUGAUAUGAUGGGUUCUCUAAGUAC